Paramuricea clavata is the source of this 92-nucleotide non-coding RNA. The record is from the annotation of a GenBank genome assembly. Lineage: Eukaryota; Metazoa; Cnidaria; Anthozoa; Malacalcyonacea; Plexauridae.
CUUGCAAAGUUUGCAAAUUUUGUAUACUUUUGUAUUGCAUGCGAAAAUUGCAAUACAAAAGUAUACAAAAUUUGCAAACUUUGGAAGGCUAU